This 67-nucleotide transfer RNA is filed under the name Batillaria attramentaria. Its description in RNAcentral is "tRNA-Phe". It matches the Rfam family "tRNA". Rfam says of the family: Transfer RNA (tRNA) molecules are approximately 80 nucleotides in length. Their secondary structure includes four short double-helical elements and three loops (D, anti-codon, and T loops). Further hydrogen bonds mediate the characteristic L-shaped molecular structure. tRNAs have two regions of fundamental functional importance: the anti-codon, which is responsible for specific mRNA codon recognition, and the 3' end, to which the tRNAs corresponding amino acid is attached (by aminoacyl-tRNA synthetases). tRNAs cope with the degeneracy of the genetic code in two manners: having more than one tRNA (with a specific anti-codon) for a particular amino acid; and 'wobble' base-pairing, i.e. permitting non-standard base-pairing at the 3rd anti-codon position. The record is from RNAcentral. Lineage: Eukaryota; Metazoa; Mollusca; Gastropoda; Batillariidae.
ACUUUCGUAGCUUAUAGUUAGAGCAUAGCACUGAAGAUGCUAGGGAGACAAACUCUGUCCAAAAGUA